CCUCUCCAGAGGGCCGCUUGGGCAUCCUCACAACAUGGCGGCUGGCUUCCGCAGAGGGACUGACCCAAGAGAGCAAGGCUGAGUCACAGUGUCUUUUAUGACCUAGCCUCCAAAGUCACACACUGCCAUUUCUGCAAUAUCCUAGCAGUCGCACGGGUCAGCCAUACUCUGUGGAAAGGGACGGGCACAAGGCAUAAAUACCAGGAGGUGAGGAUCGGUGAGUGACAUUCUGGAGGCUGCUCCCUCUUCGAAAUCCUCUAACGGAUUGCCACCCCUUAGAACAAAACACAAAUGCCUGCCCGUGGCCUGCAAGGGCUGGCGGGACUGGGGCCCUGCCUGCUUUCCAGGCUCAUCAAGCCCCUGGCCACUUGCACUAACUGCCAGAUGCGCCAACCUGUCCCUCAAGGUCCCACGCUCAUCCUCCACGGUCUCCACUACAUCCGCCUGGAAGCCUCCCUACCAGACUUUGCCUGGUUCCUCCUCACCUUUUAGGUCUCGGCUCCAAUGCCACCUCCUCAGACAGGUUCCCCUGACCACCUUACCAAAAAUAGCCCCCACCCCUGCCUGCCUCUCUCUCUCACAUCACCUCGCGUGGUGUCGCCCUCCACGGUUGCAAAUGUGUAGCUACGACAUGAGCGAUGACCCAUAAUUUACAUUUUGUGGCACCGAUUUGAUGUAUUUCCACAUGCAGUCGGUUCCGAUGUCUCGCUACGUUUCCUACAUUUCCUUCCGGGACGCCCCUUCACAUCACCCCGUGUUGGCUUCUUCCCGGCACAGCGCUGACCCCUCUCUGAAAUGAUCCUGUGCGUCGGAUUAUUGCCCUUCUCCCUUCACGUGCCAGUGAGAGCCCUUGCUUUUAAGCAACAGACUCUUUCCUAGCUAGUUGAAGCUGAAGAGGAAUUUAUUAGCAGAGAGGAAGCACCUCAGAAGUCGCCAGGAGAGCAGAGAACUAGGCUUGGAGGUCAUCUGUGUGGAUCAGUCCUUGUAUGAGCCCCACUGCGCGCGCGUGCACACACACACACACACACACACACACACACCACUGUUGCCCGGGUGAGCACUUGAGGGUGGAGACCACCACGGGGAUGCCUGCAGCUGCCGACUCUGGGAUCCGGAUGGAUCUGCUGUACUCUCUCCAGAGAACAUUCCUCGGCACCUGCCUCUCAGUGUCACUUGGAUGCGGGCGCAUCUGAUGGCUGGCAUCUUGUGUCACCUUCUCUGCUCCAUCUGCAAGCGAGGCUGGGAACCUACGUGGCUUCCACAGAGGGAGAUGUCAGUUCAUAAGGCGGGGAAGCCUCAAACCGAGGAAGAGUGUGCCAUGGUUCAGGGAUGCCAGUGCAUUGAUGACAUAUAUCGUGUCCCAUCUACUCUUUGGGCUACUUCUCAUCACCAACCCCUCUCUCAUCCUCAGACUUCACAAACGACAACACAACCCAACGGCAGGCUGAGAGCCGCUUCUCAAAAAGAAAAUAGUUACUUGUGCAAAAACUGCAUGGCUCUGCUCCAAAACUUUAGGGCUUGUUGCCAGCCUCUGACCAUCUCGUUCAUGUGUUUAUUUAUUGCCUGCCGGGAGCCCCCCUCCGGAUGUAUUUAUUGCGUUCCCACCAUGCGCUACCAGCCAGUAGACAGAACAGCCUCAAAUCCUGCUGUUGUGGGGGUUUUGACGCCACCGAGAUGGUGACCAAGGCAGAUCUCUACACCGGUCACCUAUCCCCAGCUCCCCGAAGCUCCGGAACAAUCAUCACGGACGUACCACCCAACCUGUACACGAUGAACGAGGAGCCCAAACCCUUCCUGGAGGGGCCCGUGCUGCCCGCAGCCUGAGCAGUGCACUCAAAAUGCCGAGCUUCUUUCUCUGCACCCAGGGCCACGUUGCCUGGGACUCUGGACCCACUUGGUCAGGUCCCAUGGUAUGUUAAUCGGCUUGAGCUGCCAUAACAAAAUACCAUAGACUCCGUGCUGUAAACAACAGAAAUU
Neofelis nebulosa (Clouded leopard) is the source of this 1977-nucleotide long non-coding RNA. RefSeq lists it as uncharacterized. The record is from RefSeq and is a predicted model, not a curated record. NCBI's taxonomy places the organism in Eukaryota, Metazoa, Chordata, Mammalia, Carnivora, Felidae. The transcript has 4 exons.